UACGUAGGGACCAAGCGUUGUCCGGAAUCAUUGGGCGUAAAGCGCGCGUAGGCGGUUGCCUAAGUCAGAUGUGAAAGCCCUCGGCUCAACUGGGGAAGUGCAUCUGAAACUGGGCAGCUAGAGUACCAAAGAGGGUCGCGGAAUUCCCGGUGUAGAGGUGAAAUUCGUAGAUAUCGGGAGGAACACCGGUGGCGAAGGCGGCGACCUGGGUGGAUACUGACGCUGAGGCGCGAAAGCGUGGGGAGCAAACAGG
This 253-nucleotide ribosomal RNA is filed under the name uncultured bacterium. RNAcentral describes it as "partial 16S ribosomal RNA". It matches the Rfam family "Bacterial small subunit ribosomal RNA", at positions 524 to 776 of the family's 1533-position model. The record is from RNAcentral.